CACAAGGCUCUUUUGAGAGCCACUAUUCGUCAAACUGGAACACUA
Molecule: non-coding RNA, 45 nt
Organism: Operophtera brumata (winter moth)
Lineage: Eukaryota; Metazoa; Arthropoda; Insecta; Lepidoptera; Geometridae
Source: Rfam